CUCCCGCCGGCGACCGGCGCACGGGUGAGUAACACGUAUGAAACCUGCCCGUAGCAGGGGGAUAAGCGGAAGAAAUUCCGUCUAAUACCGCGUAACAACCCAUGGAGGCAUCUCUGUGGGUUUAAAGGAAGCGAUUCCGGCUACGGAUGGUCACGCGUCGCAUUAGCUAGUUGGCGGGGUAACGGCCCACCAAGGCGACGAUGCGUAGGGGUUCUGAGAGGAAGGUCCCCCACACUGGUACUGAGACACGGACCAGACUCCUACGGAAGGCAGCAG
Molecule: ribosomal RNA, 276 nt
Filed under: uncultured bacterium
Lineage: Bacteria
Description: partial 16S ribosomal RNA
Rfam family: Bacterial small subunit ribosomal RNA
Source: RNAcentral